RNAcentral lists this ribosomal RNA (639 nucleotides) under uncultured bacterium. RNAcentral's name for it is "bacterial SSU rRNA". It matches the Rfam family "Bacterial small subunit ribosomal RNA", at positions 232 to 885 of the family's 1533-position model. The record is from RNAcentral.
CGCGGCCUAUCAGCUUGUUGGUGAGGUAAAGGCUCACCAAGGCAUUGACGGGUAGCUGGUCUGAGAGGACGAUCAGCCACACUGGGACUGAGACACGGCCCAGACUCCUGCGGGAGGCAGCAGUGGAGAAUCUUGCGCAAUGGGCGAAAGCCUGACGCAGCAACGCCGCGUGGGGGAUGAAGGCUCUCGGGUUGUAAACCCCUUUCAGCAGGGACGAAAUUGACGGUACCUGUAGAAGAAGCCCCGGCCAACUACGUGCCAGCAGCCGCGGUAACACGUAGGGGGCGAGCGUUGUCCGGAAUUAUUGGGCGUAAAGGGCUCGUAGGCGGUUCGGUAAGUCAGAUGUGAAAGGUUGGGGCUCAACCCUAAGACUGCAUUUGAUACUGCCGUGACUAGAGUCCGGUAGAGGAGUGUGGAAUUCCUGGUGUAGCGGUGAAAUGCGCAGAUAUCAGGAGGAACACCGACGGCGAAGGCAGCACUCUGGGCCGGUACUGACGCUGAGGAGCGAAAGCGUGGGUAGCAAACAGGAUUAGAUACCCUGGUAGUCCACGCCGUAAACGUUGGGCACUAGGUGUGGGACCUUAUCAACGGGUUCCGUGCCGUAGCUAACGCAUUAAGUGCCCCGCCUGGGGAGUACGG